UAUCUUUAAUUCUAAAUUACUAUUACUCUAAAUCUAAAUUACAAAAUACUAUUCACUAUUCAAAUAUCUAUAUUUUCCUUUUCAAUUUAAAUGAAACUUUUAAAAUGAAAGAAAAUUUUCAAUUAAAUUGAAAUUCUUUUUUUAUUUAUUUUUUUAUUUAUAUUUAAUAUUAAUUUUAUUUAAUAUUAAUUUUAAUCUUUUUAUUUAAUAAUAUUAAUAUUUUUAUUUAAUAAUAUUAAUAUUCAUUUUUUAUUUAAUAUUUAAAUAUUUAUUUAAAUUUAAAAUGAAAUAUUCAUUUUAUUAAUUUUAAAUAUUAAUUAUUUAGGAAUUAAGAUUAACGAAUUAAC
This 347-nucleotide long non-coding RNA is filed under the name Ricinus communis (castor bean). Its description in RNAcentral is "long non-coding RNA (RCOM_LNC000733)". Lineage: Eukaryota; Viridiplantae; Streptophyta; Magnoliopsida; Malpighiales; Euphorbiaceae. The record is from RNAcentral.